Molecule: ribosomal RNA, 234 nt
Filed under: uncultured bacterium
Lineage: Bacteria
Description: partial 16S ribosomal RNA
Rfam family: Bacterial small subunit ribosomal RNA
Source: RNAcentral
GAUCAUGGCUCAGGACGAACGCUGGCGGCGCGCCUAACACAUGCAAGUCGAACGGAGUUAUUUCAGCAGAAGCUUUCGGGUGGACGCAGGGAUAACUUAGUGGCGAACGGGUGAGUAACACGUGAGGAACCUGCCCUGGAGUGGGGGACAACAGUUGGAAACGACUGCUAAUACCGCAUAAGUUCACAGCACCGCAUGGUGCAGAGGGAAAAGGAGCAAUUCGCUUCAGGAUGG